Molecule: ribosomal RNA, 244 nt
Filed under: uncultured bacterium
Lineage: Bacteria
Description: partial small subunit ribosomal RNA
Rfam family: Bacterial small subunit ribosomal RNA
Source: RNAcentral
AGAAUCAACGCUGGCGGCGUGCCUAACACAUGCAAGUCGAACGAGAAAGUGGAGCAAUCCAUGAAUAAAGUGGCGCACGGGUGAGUAACACGUGACUAACCUACCCUUGAGUGGGGAAUAACUUCGGGAAACCGAGGCUAAUACCGCAUAACACCUACGGGUCAAAGGAGCAAUUCGCUUAAGGAGGGGUCGCGGCAGAUUAGUUAGUUGGCGGGGUAAUGGCCCACCAAGACGGUGAUCUGUA